UGGGGAAUAUUGGACAAUGGGCGGAAGCCUGAUCCAGCAACGCCGCGUGAGGGAUGACGGCCUUCGGGUUGUAAACCUCUUUCAGCACAGACGAAGCGCAAGUGACGGUAUGUGCAGAAGAAGGACCGGCCAACUACGUGCCAGCAGCCGCGGUAAUACGUAGGGUCCGAGCGUUGUCCGGAAUUAUUGGGCGUAAAGGGCUCGUAGGCGGUUUGUCGCGUCGGGAGUGAAAACACCGGGCUUAACUCGGUGCUUGCUUUCGAUACGGGCAGACUAGAGGCAUUCAGGGGAGAACGGAAUUCCUGGUGUAGCGGUGAAAUGCGCAGAUAUCAGGAGGAACACCGGUGGCGAAGGCGGUUCUCUGGGAAUGUCCUGACGCUGAGGAGCGAAAGUGUGGGGAGCGAACAGGAUUAGAUACCCUGGUAGUCCACGCCGUAAACGUUGGGCGCUAGGUGUGGGAUCCAUUCCACGGGUUCCGUGCCGCAGCUAACGCAUUAAGCGCCCCGCCUGGGGAGUACGGCCGCAAGGCUAAAACUUAAAGGAAUUGACGGGGUCAUAGCUGUUUCCU
This 568-nucleotide ribosomal RNA is filed under the name uncultured bacterium. RNAcentral describes it as "partial 16S ribosomal RNA". It matches the Rfam family "Bacterial small subunit ribosomal RNA", at positions 355 to 1375 of the family's 1533-position model. The record is from RNAcentral.